Molecule: long non-coding RNA, 531 nt
Organism: Diprion similis
Lineage: Eukaryota; Metazoa; Arthropoda; Insecta; Hymenoptera; Diprionidae
Exons: 3
Source: RefSeq, a predicted model, not a curated record
AUAUAUAUAUAUAUAUAUAUAUAGUUAAAAAAACGUUCGGUGUAUCUAAGCUAAACCUAUAGCUAUAAUGAUUGUUGUAGAAAAGAAUGGAAAGCCGUAUAAAAACCCUCGUCGAAGCCCUAAAACCAAAUCCUAAACUAUAUUGGAUUCGAUUAAAAUCAAUUGAGGUUUAAUAAGAAAUCGUCGUUGAGAAAAAUGUAUUUUUUGAAUUAUCAUUCCCCGGUUAAAACGCGUAUAUAUGGAUUAUAUUGUUAAUCAAUAAUUGUAAAUUAAACUAAACGUAUACAGCGAUUAUUGUUGAUGAUUUCGAUUAAUAUUAAGUUGUCGAGAAGAAAAAAAAAAAAAUAAUAAUAAUAACAAUAACAAUAACAAUAAUAAUAAAUAAAUAAAUAAAUAAAUAAAUAAAAACCCUGUUUCUAGUAUUUUGAUAUAGUUGUGAACAGUAAGAAGAAUAAAAAUAAAAGUGAUAAAAAUUUUAAUGUAUUAUAAAAACAGGCGUCAACUUCGCUAUCCCAUUGAUACCGGAUUAUG